GAUUUUCGCAAUGCCCGAAAGGGUCUGACCUAUCCCUGGAGGAAGCACGGGCUAAGUUCGUGCCAGCAGCCGCGGUAAGACGAACCGUGCGAACGUUGUUCGGAAUCACUGGGCUUAAAGGGCGCGUAGGCGGGCCGCAAAGUCAGGGGUGAAAUCCUCCAGCUCAACUGGAGAACUGCCUUUGAUACUGGCGGCCUGGAGUAAGGUAGGGGCAUGCGGAACUGAUGGUGGAGCGGUGAAAUGUGUUGAUAUCAUCAGGAACUCCAGUGGCGAAAGCGGCGUGCUGGACCUUUACUGACGCUGAGGCGCGAAAGCCAGGGGAGCAAACGGGAUUAGAUACCCCGGUAGUCCUGGCCCUAAACGAUGGGCACUAAGUAGAGGGGUUUU
Molecule: ribosomal RNA, 387 nt
Filed under: uncultured Planctomycetota bacterium
Lineage: Bacteria; Pseudomonadati; Planctomycetota
Description: bacterial SSU rRNA
Rfam family: Bacterial small subunit ribosomal RNA
Source: RNAcentral